GCUGGGCAUGGUGGCGCGUGCCUGUAAUCCUAGCUACUCGGGAGGCUGAGACAGGAGAAUAGCUUGAACCCAGGAGGCAGAGGUUGCAGUGAGUUGAGAUUGUGCCACUGCACUUCAGCCUGGGUGACAGAGCAAGACUCCAUCUCCA
RNAcentral lists this non-coding RNA (148 nucleotides) under Gorilla gorilla gorilla (western lowland gorilla). The record is from Rfam by way of RNAcentral. Lineage: Eukaryota; Metazoa; Chordata; Mammalia; Primates; Hominidae.